This is a non-coding RNA of Danio rerio (zebrafish), 247 nucleotides long. The record is from Ensembl. NCBI's taxonomy places the organism in Eukaryota, Metazoa, Chordata, Actinopteri, Cypriniformes, Danionidae.
GAAUAAUGAUGCACCAUAAUGCAGCCAGUUUUUCUCACUUGAUGAAUGUCUUCCUUUAGGUAAUUAUUCUGCUGUUUCCAUCAUCAAAAAUAUUUCAGUGAGAUCCAGAAGUAAAUUCAUGUGACCGUUUUGUCAUUGCAGACUGUAGAAGAAGCUCCUACGAGAAGCUUGAGUUUGAUCCAGAAUUGCUGGUCAUCUUGAAAGCGAGACAACCUUCAGAAACCAUCCCACAAUUCCCACAACUCUC